AGGAGAGGGAAUCCAUCCAUGGUGAUGGACGCAGCUAGAGCGGUGGCGAUGCCGUCGCUGUCGCCGGCCACCGUCGCGGCGAGGCCGAGCAGCCGCCGCCUUCACAAGGUCGCCGCCAUGGCCACCCAGAAGCCCACCUCCGGCACAAGAAGGGGGACGACGGUGUACUUCCCGGUGGGGGAGCCGGGGCCGAGGCAGACGACGAGCGGGAAGGCGGCGGCGCCGCCGGUGAAGCUGCUGACGAACGUGGAGAAGCUGCGGCUGCUGACGAAGGCGGAGAAGGCGGGGCUCCUGUCGGCGGCGGAGCGCGCCGGGCUGUCGCUGUCGGCGGUGGAGCGGCUGGGCCUGUUGUCCAAGGCGGAGGAGCUGGAGGUGCUGUCGGCGGCGACCGACCCGGGCACCCCCGGCGCGCUGCUCGGCGUCGCGCUGCUGCUGCUCGCCGCCGGCCCCGCCGUCGUCUACCUCGUCCCGGAGGAGUACCCAUGGGAGGUCGCCGUCCAGGCCGUGGUCGCGCUCGCCUGCGUCGUCGGUGGCUCCACCGCCUUCGCCGCCUCCAGCUUCGUGUCCAAGCUCCAGAGCUCGUCCAGCUGAAGCGAUU
RNAcentral lists this unclassified non-coding RNA (598 nucleotides) under Hevea brasiliensis (rubber tree). Lineage: Eukaryota; Viridiplantae; Streptophyta; Magnoliopsida; Malpighiales; Euphorbiaceae. The record is from RNAcentral.